AUAUUUCGGAACUGAGUCUAGUUCCUUCGACAUCAAUGUAAUCUAGUAAUCAUGAUUUUCUGUGUUGACAUCGAAGGAACUAGACUCAGUUCAGAAAUAU
Non-coding RNA from Paramuricea clavata, 100 nucleotides. The record is from the annotation of a GenBank genome assembly. Lineage: Eukaryota; Metazoa; Cnidaria; Anthozoa; Malacalcyonacea; Plexauridae.